UACGGAGGGUGCAAGCGUUGUCCGGAUUUAUUGGGUUUAAAGGGUGCGUAGGUGGCCCGGUAAGUCCGUGGUGAAAGCCUCUUGCUCAACAAGAGAACUGCCAUGGAUACUGCCGGGCUUGAGUCCAGACGAGGUUGGCGGAAUAGAGGCUGUAGCGGUGAAAUGCAUAGAUAGCCUCUAGAACCCCGAUUGCGUAGGCAGCUGACUAGGCUGGUACUGACACUGAGGCACGAAAGCGUGGGGAGCGAACAGG
RNAcentral lists this ribosomal RNA (253 nucleotides) under uncultured Hymenobacter sp. RNAcentral's name for it is "partial 16S ribosomal RNA". It matches the Rfam family "Bacterial small subunit ribosomal RNA", at positions 524 to 776 of the family's 1533-position model. The record is from RNAcentral. Lineage: Bacteria; Pseudomonadati; Bacteroidota; Cytophagia; Cytophagales; Hymenobacteraceae.